GCCGCAGUACCCUGACUGUGCAAAGGUAGCAUAAUCAUUUGGNUUAUAAUUGAAGUCUGGAAUGAAAGAAAGGACGGGNNGUUGCUGUCUCUUAGAAGCUAUUAGAAGUUAUUUAGUAAGUGCAAAUACUUACCAUUAAAUAAUAGACGAGAAGACCCUAGAAAUUUUUUAAACAGUUAGUUGAACUGAUUAAUAUUUUGUUGGGGCGACAGGAUAGCAAUUAACCUAUCUUUACAAUAUGAACUCUAUAAAUAGAAAAACUAAAUUACUCUAGGGAUAACAGCAUAAUUUAUAUUAGUUUGUGACCUCGAUGUUGGACUAGGGAUCUUAACAUUUANAAGACGUUAAGGAAAGCUCUGU
RNAcentral lists this ribosomal RNA (360 nucleotides) under Xerocrassa geyeri. RNAcentral describes it as "partial 16S ribosomal RNA". Lineage: Eukaryota; Metazoa; Mollusca; Gastropoda; Stylommatophora; Geomitridae. The record is from RNAcentral.